This 497-nucleotide ribosomal RNA is filed under the name uncultured bacterium. RNAcentral describes it as "partial 16S ribosomal RNA". It matches the Rfam family "Bacterial small subunit ribosomal RNA", at positions 28 to 507 of the family's 1533-position model. The record is from RNAcentral.
GAUGAACGCUGGCGGCGUGCCUAAUACAUGCAAGUCGAGCGAACGGACGAGAAGCUUGCUUCUCUGAUGUUAGCGGCGGACGGGUGAGUAACACGUGGAUAACCUACCUAUAAGACUGGGAUAACUUCGGGAAACCGGAGCUAAUACCGGAUAAUAUUUUGAACCGCAUGGUUCAAAAGUAAAAGACGGUCUUGCUGUCACUUAUAGAUGGAUCCGCGCUGCAUUAGCUAGUUGGUAAGGUAACGGCUUACCAAGGCAACGAUGCAUAGCCGACCUGAGAGGGUGAUCGGCCACACUGGAACUGAGACACGGUCCAGACUCCUACGGGAGGCAGCAGUAGGGAAUCUUCCGCAAUGGGCGAAAGCCUGACGGAGCAACGCCGCGUGAGUGAUGAAGGUCUUCGGAUCGUAAAACUCUGUUAUUAGGGAAGAACAUAUGUGUAAGUAACUGUGCACAUCCUGACGGUACCUAAUCAGAAAGCCACGGCUAACUACGUG